UGAAAUUCAAAAGGACAUCGUUGGCAAUUUCCUAGCAUUGUGGACACUGUUGUGCAGUUAAUUGAAAUGAAUAAUUGCUGCUACAAGUGAAGUUGACCGACCACCAAAAGGGCAGGAAAGCCGUCUUCUCUGCAAUGGAAAUUGAUUUUUUUUGGAGGCACAACAUGGCUGCGGGCCGGGCCUGUGUGCAAGGAUAACAACACGAUUGUAAUUCCUUGAUAAUUGCAAAGGGCAUGGAGCAACUAAGUGAGAGCAGCACUUUCGAUGCAAGCAUUUCAAUAACGUGGCAUUUCAAUAAUAUCGAUCCACAGUUGGCCUCUGAUGGCGUGGGUGCAGCUCUAUUAUCUUGGUCUGAAAACACGACUGCGGCGUCCCAUUAUCCUUGUACUUGAACGACUGCAGCUAAGUGCACGUAAUGGAAUCCAAAGACUGGGGGUUCAUUUGGCGAAACUGCAUCGUCUGCUGCCUUGAUUGGGUGGUCCUAACGGCGAUUUUAUGGAUC
Molecule: non-coding RNA, 502 nt
Organism: Drosophila melanogaster (fruit fly)
Lineage: Eukaryota; Metazoa; Arthropoda; Insecta; Diptera; Drosophilidae
Source: Ensembl